Molecule: small RNA, 102 nt
Filed under: Arabidopsis thaliana (thale cress)
Lineage: Eukaryota; Viridiplantae; Streptophyta; Magnoliopsida; Brassicales; Brassicaceae
Description: ATSL150940
Source: RNAcentral
UUGAGUUACAAAAUAUCUUCACAAGUUUGAGGGUAUCUUUAGGGUAUGCCGCUAUGGUUUUGAUUUUUAUUCCCUUCCACUUGAAAAUAUAUUUUUUUGUUG